RNAcentral lists this ribosomal RNA (1540 nucleotides) under Klebsiella quasipneumoniae. RNAcentral describes it as "bacterial SSU rRNA". It matches the Rfam family "Bacterial small subunit ribosomal RNA". The record is from RNAcentral. Lineage: Bacteria; Pseudomonadati; Pseudomonadota; Gammaproteobacteria; Enterobacterales; Enterobacteriaceae.
AAAUUGAAGAGUUUGAUCAUGGCUCAGAUUGAACGCUGGCGGCAGGCCUAACACAUGCAAGUCGAGCGGUAGCACAGAGAGCUUGCUCUCGGGUGACGAGCGGCGGACGGGUGAGUAAUGUCUGGGAAACUGCCUGAUGGAGGGGGAUAACUACUGGAAACGGUAGCUAAUACCGCAUAACGUCGCAAGACCAAAGUGGGGGACCUUCGGGCCUCAUGCCAUCAGAUGUGCCCAGAUGGGAUUAGCUAGUAGGUGGGGUAAUGGCUCACCUAGGCGACGAUCCCUAGCUGGUCUGAGAGGAUGACCAGCCACACUGGAACUGAGACACGGUCCAGACUCCUACGGGAGGCAGCAGUGGGGAAUAUUGCACAAUGGGCGCAAGCCUGAUGCAGCCAUGCCGCGUGUGUGAAGAAGGCCUUCGGGUUGUAAAGCACUUUCAGCGGGGAGGAAGGCGAUAAGGUUAAUAACCUUGUUGAUUGACGUUACCCGCAGAAGAAGCACCGGCUAACUCCGUGCCAGCAGCCGCGGUAAUACGGAGGGUGCAAGCGUUAAUCGGAAUUACUGGGCGUAAAGCGCACGCAGGCGGUCUGUCAAGUCGGAUGUGAAAUCCCCGGGCUCAACCUGGGAACUGCAUUCGAAACUGGCAGGCUAGAGUCUUGUAGAGGGGGGUAGAAUUCCAGGUGUAGCGGUGAAAUGCGUAGAGAUCUGGAGGAAUACCGGUGGCGAAGGCGGCCCCCUGGACAAAGACUGACGCUCAGGUGCGAAAGCGUGGGGAGCAAACAGGAUUAGAUACCCUGGUAGUCCACGCCGUAAACGAUGUCGAUUUGGAGGUUGUGCCCUUGAGGCGUGGCUUCCGGAGCUAACGCGUUAAAUCGACCGCCUGGGGAGUACGGCCGCAAGGUUAAAACUCAAAUGAAUUGACGGGGGCCCGCACAAGCGGUGGAGCAUGUGGUUUAAUUCGAUGCAACGCGAAGAACCUUACCUGGUCUUGACAUCCACAGAACUUAGCAGAGAUGCUUUGGUGCCUUCGGGAACUGUGAGACAGGUGCUGCAUGGCUGUCGUCAGCUCGUGUUGUGAAAUGUUGGGUUAAGUCCCGCAACGAGCGCAACCCUUAUCCUUUGUUGCCAGCGGUUAGGCCGGGAACUCAAAGGAGACUGCCAGUGAUAAACUGGAGGAAGGUGGGGAUGACGUCAAGUCAUCAUGGCCCUUACGACCAGGGCUACACACGUGCUACAAUGGCAUAUACAAAGAGAAGCGACCUCGCGAGAGCAAGCGGACCUCAUAAAGUAUGUCGUAGUCCGGAUUGGAGUCUGCAACUCGACUCCAUGAAGUCGGAAUCGCUAGUAAUCGUAGAUCAGAAUGCUACGGUGAAUACGUUCCCGGGCCUUGUACACACCGCCCGUCACACCAUGGGAGUGGGUUGCAAAAGAAGUAGGUAGCUUAACCUUCGGGAGGGCGCUUACCACUUUGUGAUUCAUGACUGGGGUGAAGUCGUAACAAGGUAACCGUAGGGGAACCUGCGGUUGGAUCACCUCCUUA